CUCGUAGGCGGUUUGUCGCGUCUGCUGUGAAAUCCCGAGGCUCAACCUCGGGCCUGCAGUGGGUACGGGCAAACUAGAGUGCGGUAGGGGAGAUUGGAACUCCUGGUGUAGCGGUGGAAUGCGCAGAUAUCAGGAAGAACACCGAUGGCGAAGGCAGAUCUCUGGGCCGUUACUGACGCUGAGGAGCGAAAGCGUGGGGAGCAAACA
This 207-nucleotide ribosomal RNA is filed under the name uncultured bacterium. Its description in RNAcentral is "partial 16S ribosomal RNA". It matches the Rfam family "Bacterial small subunit ribosomal RNA", at positions 568 to 774 of the family's 1533-position model. The record is from RNAcentral.